Molecule: RNase P RNA, 371 nt
Filed under: Thiocystis violascens DSM 198
Lineage: Bacteria; Pseudomonadati; Pseudomonadota; Gammaproteobacteria; Chromatiales; Chromatiaceae
Description: Bacterial RNase P class A
Rfam family: Bacterial RNase P class A
About the family: Ribonuclease P (RNase P) is a ubiquitous endoribonuclease, found in archaea, bacteria and eukarya as well as chloroplasts and mitochondria. Its best characterised activity is the generation of mature 5'-ends of tRNAs by cleaving the 5'-leader elements of precursor-tRNAs.
Source: Rfam by way of RNAcentral
GGAGUUGGUCAGGCAGUCGCUCGUUUCGUCCGCGAAACGGGAGGAAAGUCCGGGCUCCAACGGGCAGGGUGCCAGGUAACGCCUGGGGGGCGCGAGCCCACGGAAAGUGCCGCAGAAAAGAUACCGCCGAUCCCGCGCCCGUCGCGGGAGGUAAGGGUGAAAUGGUGCGGUAAGAGCGCACCGCGCCGGUGGCAACAUCGGUGGCAGGGUAAACCCCACCCGGAGCAAGACCAAAUAGGGGGACAUGCGGCUUCGACCGCGACGCGCGGCCCGCGCGUGUUCCCGGGUAGGUCGCUUGAGGCGCAUGGCGACAUGCGUCCCAGAUGAAUGGCUGUCCUCGACAGAACCCGGCUUAUCGGCCAACUCCCUCC